RNAcentral lists this ribosomal RNA (292 nucleotides) under uncultured bacterium. RNAcentral's name for it is "partial 16S ribosomal RNA". It matches the Rfam family "Bacterial small subunit ribosomal RNA", at positions 505 to 796 of the family's 1533-position model. The record is from RNAcentral.
GUGUCAGCCGCCGCGGUAAUACGUAGGGGGCAAGCGUUGUCCGGAUUUAUUGGGCGUAAAGAGCGUGUAGGCGGCCAGAUAGGUCUGUUGUGAAAACUCGAGGCUCAACCUCGAGACGCCGAUGGAAACCAUUUGGCUAGAGUCCGGAAGAGGAGAGUGGAAUUCCUGGUGUAGCGGUGAAAUGCGCAGAUAUCAGGAAGAACACCCGUGGCUAAGGCGGCUCUCUAGUACGGUACUGACGCUGAGACGCGAAAGCGUGGGGAGCGAACAGGAUUAGAUACCCGUGUAGUCC